RNAcentral lists this ribosomal RNA (253 nucleotides) under uncultured bacterium. RNAcentral's name for it is "partial 16S ribosomal RNA". It matches the Rfam family "Bacterial small subunit ribosomal RNA", at positions 524 to 776 of the family's 1533-position model. The record is from RNAcentral.
UACGUAGGGUGCGAGCGUUAAUCGGAAUUACUGGGCGUAAAGCGUGCGUAGGCGGUUCCUCAAGUCCGUUGUGAAAGCCCCGGGCUCAACCUGGGAAUGGCAGUGGAAACUAGGGGACUGGAAUCUGGCAGAGGGGGGUGGAAUGCCGCGUGUAGCAGUGAAAUGCGUAGAGAUGCGGCGGAACACCGAUGGCGAAGGCAGCCCCCUGGGCUGAGAUUGACACUCAGGCACGAAAGCGUGGGGAGCAAACAGG